GAUGAACGCUGGCGGCGUGCCUAAUACAUGCAAGUCGAGCGAACGGACGAGAAGCUUGCGUCUUUGAUGUUAGCGGCGGACGGGUGAGUAACACGUGGAAACCUACCUAUAAGUCUGGGAAACCUUAGGAAAAUCGUAGCUAAUACCGGAUAAUAUUCUGAACCGCAUGGGUCAAAAGGAAAAGUCGGGCUUGCUGGGACGUAUAGAUGGCUUCGCGCUGCAUUAGCUGGGUGGUGAGGUAACGGCCUACUAAGGCGGAGAUGCAUUGCCGACCUGAGAGGGUGAUAGGCCACACGGGAACGUGGACAGGCACAAGGGGCCUACGGGAGGCAGCAGUAGGCAAUCUUCCGCAGCGGUGGAGAACCUUGCACAACGACGCUGCGUGAGUUAUGAAGAUCCUCGGUUCGUAAUACUCUCAUACGAGUUAAGAACAUAUUUGUCAUUAGCUGUAGACAUCUUGACGGUAACUGGUCAGGAAGCAACGGCUAACUACGUG
RNAcentral lists this ribosomal RNA (496 nucleotides) under uncultured bacterium. RNAcentral's name for it is "partial 16S ribosomal RNA". It matches the Rfam family "Bacterial small subunit ribosomal RNA", at positions 28 to 507 of the family's 1533-position model. The record is from RNAcentral.